RNAcentral lists this ribosomal RNA (516 nucleotides) under uncultured bacterium. Its description in RNAcentral is "bacterial SSU rRNA". It matches the Rfam family "Bacterial small subunit ribosomal RNA", at positions 28 to 526 of the family's 1533-position model. The record is from RNAcentral.
GAUGAACGCUGGCGGCGUGCCUAAUACAUGCAAGUCGUACGAACAGCGGAAAGUGCUUGCACUUUCCAAGUAAGUGGCGAACGGGUGAGUAACACGUGAAUAACCUACCUCAAAGACUGGGAUAACCAUUGGAAACAGUGACUAAUACCGGAUAAAACCCAGUAGCACAUGCUACAAGGUUAAAAGCUGCGUUUGCAGCGCUUUAAGAUGGAUUCGCGGUGCAUUAGUUAGUUGGUGAGGUAAAGGCUCACCAAGACAAUGAUGCAUAGCCGAGUUGAGAGACUGACCGGCCACAUUGGGACUGAGACACGGCCCAAACUCCUACGGGAGGCUGCAGUAGGGAAUCUUCCACAAUGGGCGCAAGCCUGAUGGAGCAACGCCGCGUGUGUGAUGAAGGCUUUCGGGUCGUAAAGCACUGUUGUAUGGGAAGAACGGGUUUAAGAGGAAAUGCUUAAGCAGUGACGGUACCAUACCAGAAAGGGACGGCUAAAUACGUGCCAGCCGCCGCCGUAACAC